CGCGAAUCGCCCUUCGGGGUGCACCAGGCGCGAAAACUUUACAAUGCCGGCAACGGCGAUAAGGGGACCUCGAGUGCCAGGUUACAAAUCUGGCUGUCGUGAUGCCUAAAAAGCAUUGCAUAGCAAGGGCCGGGCAAGACCGGUGCCAGCCGCCGCGGUAACACCGGCGGCUCGAGUGGUAACCGUUAUUAUUGGGUCUAAAGGGUCUGUAGCCGGCCGGAUAAGUCUCUUGGGAAAUCCAGCAGCUCAACUGUUGGGCUUUCAGGAGAUACUGUCUGGCUCGAGGCCGGGAGAGGUGAGAGGUACUUCAGGGGUAGGGGUGAAAUCUUGUAAUCCUUGAAGGACCACCAGUGGCGAAGGCGUCUCACCAGAACGGACCUGACGGCAAGGGACGAAAGCUAGGGGCACGAACCGGAUUAGAUACCCGGGUAGUCCUAGCCGUAAACGAUACUCGCUAGGUGUCGGCCACGGUGCGACCGUUGUCGGUGCCGUAGGGAAGCCGUGAAGCGAGCCACCUGGGAAGUACGGCCGCAAGGCUGAAACUUAAAGGAAUUGGCGGGGGAGCAC
This 567-nucleotide ribosomal RNA is filed under the name uncultured archaeon. RNAcentral describes it as "bacterial SSU rRNA". It matches the Rfam family "Archaeal small subunit ribosomal RNA", at positions 312 to 879 of the family's 1478-position model. The record is from RNAcentral.